Molecule: ribosomal RNA, 405 nt
Filed under: uncultured bacterium
Lineage: Bacteria
Description: bacterial SSU rRNA
Rfam family: Bacterial small subunit ribosomal RNA
Source: RNAcentral
UGGGGAAUAUUGCGCAAUGGGGGCAACCCUGACGCAGCAAUACCGCGUGAGUGAAGAAGGUUUUCGGAUCGUAAAGCUCUGUUAUUGGGGAAGAAAAAAAGACGGUACCCAAGAAGAAAGUCCCGGCUAACUACGUGCCAGCAGCCGCGGUAAUACGUAGGGGACAAGCGUUGUCCGGAUUUACUGGGCGUAAAGGGCACGCAGGCGGUUUUUUAAGUCAGAUGUGAAAGGUACCGGCUCAACCGGUGACAUGCAUUUGAAACUGAAAGACUUGAGUAUUGGAGAGGCAAGUGGAAUUCCUAGUGUAGCGGUGAAAUGCGUAGAUAUUAGGAGGAACACCGGUGGCGAAGGCGGCUUGCUGGACAAAUACUGACGCUGAGGUGCGAAAGCGUGGGGAGCAAACAG